AUGUCUUCUCAGGAAUCAGUUGGGGAGAGCCGGGUGUCUCACCCAACGCCAGGUCCAGGAGCAAAUAGCGAUGCCUAUCACUUUGGACCGUCAACAGAGGACGAGAUGGAGGUUGAUUUGAAAAGGAUAGAUGCCAUGGAGGAAGAUCAAGAAGUUACCUCCCGCCUCCAAGCAGAAUUCACUAUGGGGGAACUACCUAGCCUGGUUGUCCCUACUUUGGUCACUCCUUUCAACUCCAGAUUUCUGUCUUAUGAAAAUAUGAAAAAGAGUUUCACUUGUUCUCCAGAAGCUAUGCAACAUCCUUGGGUAAAAGGAGCUUUGUCUGUCACGGGCAAUCUCCGUAAAGAAAAUAUGGACCUCAAACAACAAGUCAAUAAGCUCGAGGAGGAGAACCGUAUCCUGAAGGGCAUAAUCGCCAAGAAGAUCAUAACACCAACCGUGAAGAAGGAGAGAUAA
Molecule: ribosomal RNA, 456 nt
Filed under: Triticum aestivum (bread wheat)
Lineage: Eukaryota; Viridiplantae; Streptophyta; Magnoliopsida; Poales; Poaceae
Description: partial small subunit ribosomal RNA
Source: RNAcentral